AUGAAGAAGAACAUCGACACGCAGGAAGACCACAAACUGUGGGGGAUCGGCCUGCUGCCAGACAACCUCAUCGAGUACGCAAGAGUAGAUGCGUACGCCACGUACAAGUCAUGGAACAUGAUCGACAACAUCACGAAUGGUUGGGAAAUUGCAAAAGCGCGAGAGGCCGACCACUACUACGACCGCCCCUUUCGCCCCUUUUAG
Molecule: ribosomal RNA, 204 nt
Filed under: Triticum aestivum (bread wheat)
Lineage: Eukaryota; Viridiplantae; Streptophyta; Magnoliopsida; Poales; Poaceae
Description: partial small subunit ribosomal RNA
Source: RNAcentral